GACGAACGCUGGCGGCGUGCUUAACACAUGCAAGUCGAACGAAGUGGCGAACGGGUGAGUAACGCGUAAUCAACUUGCCCUUCAGAGGGGGACAACAGUUGGAAACGACUGCUAAUACCGCAUACGGAAGGAGGGGAUUGCGUCUGAUUUGCUAGUUGGGUGGGUAACGGCCCACCAAGGCGAUGAUCAGUAGCCGGUCCUGGGGGGUGGACGGCCAAAAUGGGACUGAGACAACGGCCAGAAUCCUUCGGGGGGGAGCAGUGGGGAAUUUUCCGAAAUGGACGAAAGUCUGACGGCGCAACGCCGGGGUAGUGAUGGAGGCCUUCGGGUUGUAAAGCUCUGUUAAUCGGGACGCGGUACCGGAAUAGAAAGCCACGGCUAACUACGUGCCAGCAGCCGCGGUAAUAC
Molecule: ribosomal RNA, 408 nt
Filed under: uncultured bacterium
Lineage: Bacteria
Description: partial 16S ribosomal RNA
Rfam family: Bacterial small subunit ribosomal RNA
Source: RNAcentral